This 497-nucleotide ribosomal RNA is filed under the name uncultured bacterium. RNAcentral describes it as "partial 16S ribosomal RNA". It matches the Rfam family "Bacterial small subunit ribosomal RNA", at positions 28 to 507 of the family's 1533-position model. The record is from RNAcentral.
GAUGAACGCUGGCGGCGUGCCUAAUACAUGCAAGUCGAGCGAACAGACGAGGAGCUUGCUCCUCUGACGUUAGCGGCGGACGGGUGAGUAACACGUGGAUAACCUACCUAUAAGACUGGGAUAACUUCGGGAAACCGGAGCUAAUACCGGAUAAUAUAUUGAACCGCAUGGUUCAAUAGUGCAUGACGGUUUUGCUGUCACUUAUAGCUGGAUCCGCGCCGCAUUAGCUAGUUGGUAAGGUAACGGCUUACCAAGGCAACGAUGCGUAGCCGACCUGAGAGGGUGAUCGGCCACACUGGAACUGAGACACGGUCCAGACUCCUACGGGAGGCAGCAGUAGGGAAUCUUCCGCAAUGGGCGAAAGCCUGACGGAGCAACGCCGCGUGAGUGAUGAAGGUCUUCGGAUCGUAAAACUCUGUUAUUAGGGAAGAACAAAUGUGUAAGUAACUAUGCACGUCUUGACGGUACCUAAUCAGAAAGCCACGGCUAACUACGUG